UAUGUAUUUAUGUGGGAUUUGUUAUUUAAUUAUUUGACGUUUUUAUGCAAAAGGCAGCACGAAAGGUGGGAAGAAUUUGUUGCGGACCAGUUUCACGGGGAAAGUAUGCUGAAGCUGAAUGAAUAUAUAUGUAUAUUUGAUC
Rhodamnia argentea is the source of this 142-nucleotide long non-coding RNA. RefSeq lists it as uncharacterized. The transcript is spliced from 2 exons. Lineage: Eukaryota; Viridiplantae; Streptophyta; Magnoliopsida; Myrtales; Myrtaceae. The record is from RefSeq and is a predicted model, not a curated record.